Molecule: non-coding RNA, 10654 nt
Organism: Callithrix jacchus (white-tufted-ear marmoset)
Lineage: Eukaryota; Metazoa; Chordata; Mammalia; Primates; Cebidae
Source: RefSeq, a predicted model, not a curated record
UUCCCCUUUCUUGGUUUCCUCCCAUAUUUUAGUUGAGAAGAACACCAUACAGGAGUUGAUCAAGAAAGGGGACAUAGGAAGCAAAGUUUUGGAGAUCCUACAUGUCUGAUGAUGAUUUAAUUUUAUCCUCACACAUGAUUUCUAGUUUACCCAGGUCUAGAUUCUAAGAUGAAAGCCAGAUUGCUGCAGAAUUUUUUACAAGCAUUGCUCCUGUUCUCAGGGCAUCCAGUGUUCCUGCUGAGAAAUCUGAUGGUCUUGUUUUAUAGCCCAGGCUGAGUGUAGUGGUGCAAUCACGGCUCACUGCAGCCUCAACUCCCUGAACUCAAGUGAUCCUCCUGCCCCAGCCUCUUUGAGUAGCUAGGAUUACAGGCAGAUAGAGUGAAACUGCUUACCUUAAUCCAAUCAGGGACUGAGAUAAGUCAAAGCUAGAUUACAGUUUUGGUAAGUUCUUUCUACCUGAUUUAUUUUAAAACAUUUUUUAUUUUUUGUUAAUUGAUGAGUAAAUAUUGUAUUUUUUACUUGUUAUUAACAAAAUAAACAAAAUAAAACAAAAGUUGUACAACAUGAUGUUUUGAUAUAGGUAUACAUUGUGGAAAGGCUAAAUUUUCUCACAUACUUACCAUUUUAUUUUGGUGAAUGCAUUUAAAAUCGACUCUCUUAGCAAUUUUCUAGUAUACUUUGUGUUGUUAUUAGCUAUAGUUACUCACCAUGUUUACAAUAGCUCUCUUGAACCUAUUCCCCCUGUUUAAGUGAAAUUUUGUAUCCCUUGACCAACAUCUCUCCAAUCCUUCCUCCUCCAUAACCCCAGGUCCUUGAUAACACUGUUCUCUCAAUUUCUAUGCAUUUGACUUUUUAAGGAUUCCACAUAUGAGUAAGAUCACUUAGCAUUCAUUGUUUUGUGCUUGACUUAUCUCCUUAGUGGUAUGUCCUGCAGGUUUAUUCAUGUUGUUACAAAUGUUAGGCUUUCCUUUUUUUUUUUUUUUUAGGCUGAAUAGUAUUCGAUUGUAUAUCUAUAUCACACUAUGCCACAUUUUCUUUAAUCAUUCAUUGAUGAACACUAAGAUUUAAAAAUUUUUAUUUAUUUAUUUAUUUUUUCUCUAUUAGCAAGCUUUUUUUUUUAAACUUUUAAGUUCAGGGAUAUAUGUGCAGGAUGUGCCGAUUUGUUACAUACGUAAAUGUGGACACUAAGGUUGAUUUUCUAUCUUGGCUACUGUGAAUAAUGUUGCAGUAAACAUGGGAAUGCAGACAUCUUUUUGAUAUACUAAUUUUAUAUCCUUUGGAUAUAUACCCAGAAGUGGAAUUGCUGGAUCAUAUGAUAGGGUAGUAGUACUACUUUCAAUUUCCAAGAAAAUUCCAUCGAAUUUUCCAUAAAUGCUGUACUAAUUUAUAUUCCCACUAACAGUAUAUAAGCGUUCCCCUUUCUCUACAUCCAUAUAAAUACUAUCUCCUGUCUUUUUUAUAAUAGCCACUCUAACAGGUGUGAGGUGACAUCUUAUUAUGGGCAAAGGGUUUUAAGGUUUUUAUGGUUUUAAUUUACAUUUCCCAGUGAUUGGUGAUGUUGAGAAUGUUUUCUUGUAUCUUUUGGCCAUUUGUCUUCAGGUCCUUUGCCCAUUUCUUUAAAAAAAAAAUUAAGUUUGAGACAGGGUCUCACUCUGUCAUCCAGGCUGGAAUACAGUGACACAAUCUCAGCUCACUGCAACCUUUGCCUCCUGAGCUCAAGCGAUCCUCUCACCUUAGCUUCCUGAGUAGCUGGGACCACAGGUGCAUGCCAUAAUGCCUAGCAAUUUAUUUUUAUUUUUUUUAUUUUUAGUAGAGAGGAAGUCUUGCCAUGUUGCCCCAGUUGGUCUUGAACUCCUGAGCUCAAGUGAUCUGCCUGCCUUGACCUCCCAAGUGUUGGGAUUACAGGCAUAAGCCACUGCACCCAGCCCCUUUGCCCAUUUUUUAAUUGAGUUAGUUGUUACCUUGCUAAAGACUUACUUGAGUUCCUUAUAUAUUUUGGAUAUCAACCUUUUAUCAGGUGUAUGGUUUGCAAACAUAUUCUUUCAUUUUGUAGAUUGCCUCUUCACUUUUUGAUUGUUAUCUUUGCUGUAAUAAGCUUUUUAGUUUGAUACAAUCCCAUUUGUUUAUUUUUGCUUUUGUUGCCUAUGCUUUUGGGGUCAUAUACAAAAAGUUCUUGCCAAACAAAUGUCAUAAAGCUUUCCCUCUAUGUUUUCUAAUAGUUUAUAUUUCAGGUCUUACAUUUAAGUUUUUAAUCCAUUUUGAGUUGGUUUUGUGUCUGAUGUGAGAUAAGAGUUUAAUUUCAUCCUUCUGAAUGUGGCUACCUAGUUUUUCUAGCAUCAUUUAUUGAAGAGACUAUACCUUUUCCAUUUGUGUUCUUCGGGAAUCUGUUGAAGAUCCCUAGGUUAUUAUAGAAGAUUCCCAAAUUAUUGCAGUUAUUGACUGUAAAUGUGUGAACUUAUUUCUGGGUUCUCUAUUCUGUUCCAUUGGUCCAUAUGUCUGUUUUUAUGCCAGUACUAUACUGUAUUGAUUACUAUAGCUUUGUAGUAUAUUCUGAAAUAGGGUAGUUGAUGCUUGCAGCUUUGUUUUUGUUGUUCAAGAUUGCUUUUGCUAUUUGGGAUAUUUUGUGUCUCCAUAUUAAUUUUAAAAUUGUAAAAUUUGUGUAAAAAUGUCAUUGGGAUUUUUAUAGCGAUUGCAUUGAAUCAGUAGAUUGCAUUGGGUAGCAUGGACAUUUUAACAAUAUUAAUUAUUCCAAUCCAUGAACAUUGGAUGUCUUUUCUACCUCUGUUUUAAAUCCACUCUUGGGGUGUAGCUCUGCAGAUCUUCCAAUUUGCUAUAUUCACUGAGACUCUUUUCACUGGCAAAUCCUGAACUUUAAUCCCUGCCUUAUCAGUACUUUAAGAGCAUAAAAAUCUACCCUCUCCUCCUUGAAAGAUUUCUUCUUAGCUUUUAACUUCCUGCCCCUUGAUACUUCAGAACUCAUGUCUUAAGGGUAAUACCAGAUGAGUGUUGGCCUUCUUUUUUCAUUUCCCUCUUUUUCACUGUGAUUUUGGACUUUCUGUUUGUUACUUUGUUACAAUUUUUAUCUUCCCAGUAUAAGAAGGCUGCCAAAAUCUUUGCUGGUUUCUCCUCUGUGUGAGAAGUCUGCAUUGCUAACUUCUUGCCCUGCUCUCAGAAUUGGCAAUGCACUAGGGGAAUGCCACUAUAGAAUGUCAGGUCAUUCUCUGCUGUUUCCCUCUUCCUCUCAAUCCAUUAUUUCAACAGUUCUUAUGUGUCUUCAAACAGCUUUAAAAUUUUUCUUAAAAAAUAACCUUUCUAGUUGUUCUUAGCUCUGCUGUAAGCUACUCUGUCAUACUCAGAAGUAGAAGUCUCCAUUUAUGUUAAAGUGAAGGACACUUUUAUUCUCCUUGGAGAAGACAUAGCUCUCCAGCUGGAUGAGUCAUGCGUGUGUGUGUGUGUGUGUGUGUGUGUGCGUGCAUGCACACGCACGUGCGUCUAUGUGUCUGUGUAGGAUCUGGAGUGCAGUACUUUCUAUACAGACAUUUAUAGUUUUCUACUGACAUUCUGUCUAUCAUUCUGUAUUCUGCCUCACCUGAAUCCCUAAGAUUUCCUAGUGUCUUUAAUUCCUGAGAUUUUCUGGGGCUCCUGGGUUUUCUCUGCUGACUUAAGUGUGGACUUACUUCUCUCUGCCAUAUCAGUUGUCAUUUAUCCACUGAUUUCCCUGUUACAAUUUUUUUUUUUAGCCCUUGUGGCCUUUAUCAUUUUUAUCCAUUUCUUUAUUUUUUUUAGUGGGUUUCAGGAGGGAGUACAAUAAUAUUUAACCACAAGUCCAACAUUAAUCCCUUUUCUGAAAACAAUUGAAAUUGUGUUGUUACACUACUUCUUACAUAAGUGAUACUUGAUCAUCAGAAAUGACAUUGUCAAACUGUUAGUCAAAGAAACAGAAUGGAAUGAGACACUAUUUUUCUUUAAUUUGAUCUCUCAGUUCUUAUAGUUUACCAGCUCUUAGAAACUGCAGUGCUAAAGUAUUUGCUUUUUAAUGAAGCUCAAGACAUAUUCCAUACUUUGCAGGGACAUGGAUGAAAGUGGAAGCCAUCAUCCUCAGCAAAGUAACACAGGAGCAGGAAACCAAACACUGCAUGCUGGCACUAACAAGUGGGAGCUGAACAAUGAGAGCACAUGGACACAGGGAGGGGAAAAACACACACUGGGCCUGUCGAGGGUGGAGGGCAAGGGAAAGGAGAACAUUAGGACAGAUACCUGAUGCACGUGGGGCUUAAAACCUACGUGAUGGGUUGAUAGGUGCAGCAAAUUACCAUGGCACAUGUAUACCCAUGCAACCAACCUGCACAUUCUGCAUAUGUAUUCUGGAAUAAAAAUAUAAAUAAAUAAUAAAAAUACAAAGAUAUUCUGACUUGGAAGGCUGCCACAGGAAAUACAGAGAGAAGAGGCUUUCCCCAAAGGACGUAAUAGUCUCUUUUGUAGAAUUGUUUCUUAGUAUAUUUUACUCUAUUCUGUAAUUAUUACAACAUUUUUUUUUCUCCAGGAUCCUAGACUACUAGAGAAUGAUGACAUAUGGCUCUCUAGGUACAUGCUCCAUGUGUCCUAGGAGUAUACAAAGGCCUACCAAGAGGUUUGGAGGAUGCUAUUCAAAUUACUAAUGGCUGCAGUAAGAAUUUGGCUGUGCAUUUUUAAAAAAAUAAUUUUUAAUUUUUUUGUGAAUUUCCUCGUAUUGGCAUAUUAAAAUCUUUAACACUAUUUCUCUUUCACUAUUUAUUCUCCCCAGUACAAAGUGGAAAUUCACUACUUUAUCACUUGGUAGACUAUAUUAUCUGAUAUGGUUUGGCGGUGUCCCCACCCAAAUCUCAUCUUGAAUUGUAGUUCUCAUAGUCCCCAUGUGUCGUGGGAAUGGUUGAGUGGGAGGUAAUCAAAUUAUGGGGGCAGUUACCCUCCCCAGGCUCUUCUUAUAACAGUGAGUGAGUUCUCAUGAAAUCUGAUGGUUUUAUAAGGGGCACUUCCCCAAUUGCUUGGCAUUUCUUCCUGCUGACAUGUGAAGAAGGACGUGUUUGCUUCUCCUUCCACCAUGAUUGUAGGUUCCCAGAGGCCUCCUUAGCCCUGGAUAACUGUGAGUCAAUUAAAUUUCUUUCCUUUAUAAAUUACCCAAUUUCAGGUUUGUCCUUAUAGCAGCAUGAGAAUGGCCUACUGCAUUAUCUUACUGACAUAAUGGAAGGGUCAAAAUUUGGAAACAAGUACUUCAUGUCAAUAGACUCUACUUAUCCUAGAAGCCUCUGUUUACUUUUUUAUUCACACAUAAUUAUUGAGGUCUUAGUUUCUGCAAAGCCUUGUCUUAGGUGCUGAGGAUAUAGCAGCGAAUUAAAUAAAGUUCUUAUUUUUGAAGAGCCUUGCAUUCUACUGAAGGAUGUGGCCAUAAAUAAAUAAAAACAUAUUAUGUUAUUAAUAUGAUGUCACACAUGCUAUAAAGAAAAAGCAGAAUAAAGGAAUAGGGGGCAGGGUGGUACUUUUUAAAAUAGUGUGGUCAAAAUAAACUUCCUAAGGAGUAACUAUGAGAUCCGAACAAAAUACAAAAGGACCCAACACAUAUGCAGUAAAGAAAAUGAAAGCCAAAAAGAAGUCAGUAAUCCACCCAGAUGACUGCUCUGCACUGUUUUCAUUUUCCUCAUUGGAUAUAUAGUGAGUCAUUCUUUUCUUUGUUCAGAUCUCCAAGUUACUUGUACUUGGAAUUAGAAAAAAAUUUUUAACUUGUUUUAUUUGGUAACCUAGAUCUCAGUUCAUCUAGGAUGAUGUUCUUUAAAAAUAUAUAUAGCAGGCCAGAUAUACUGAAUGUACAGAUAUAAUUUAAGUUUGGCAUUAUUGUAUUUACAUUGACAUUUAUUGUACAUAAAUUCAGUGAUGUUUAUGAUGGAAUUUUUGUAGUAAGCAAAAUUUAGUUUCCCUUUACCAUUUUGUCUAUAUGAAGAAGUGUGUUAGACUUGGUAGGAGGUAUCCUUGAAGUCACUUUUAGAAAAAUAUUGGCUCUACUGAGUAGAGGUUGGAUUAGUUUCCUGAAUUUAUGUAAACAUCCAAUGAAAGACCAAUAACUUAAAAUUACAGAGGCCGCUAUGUGGUCUUUUCCAGCAGGCUCAUGGAAAUGCCUACCCUUCUGACCCAGCCACUAGAGGGAUUGUUGUACCACGAAGAAGCAUGUUUCCCCCAGUGCUUUGGGAGUGAUUCUGCUCAGGGCAUUGUCUGGAAAGUAUUCAUCUUCUUUUCUGAAGAAGUGUUGGAGACAGGUCUUCAUCAGCAGCCUGAAAAUGGACUGGUAUCACAUCUUAAGGUAAAAUUGAAUAACUAGUACUUCAAGUCAAGAAACCAAUAUGCAAGGUAAUAAUUUUGAUUGUUUUCUUUUGUUAUAGUGACACAGUUAAACUCUUUGGGUAUUCAACAAUAUAAGGCAAGUAGGGCAGGGGUUCAGGAAGGAGUAUUGCAAAGUCAUGGAGGAGAUUUGGGAAUGUUCAUUCGUGGGACUCAUGAUGAAACAGAUAAUACUGUGAAUUAUCAAGAGACAAAGCAGGAAAAUCAGAAGGUUCUGGCCUUUACUCUUUUUAGGGAUUAAUAUCAGUGUUCUUGGACUGUGAGAAACAUGGGAAUGAGAAGACCUCCCAGAGUAGAAGAGACAGAUGGGCAGUUCUGUUGCUGGCACAGAAGGAUAAACUCAUCUCCUGAGUGAACCUGGGAGAGCUGAAGAGCGUUUCAAGCAUCAAUGACAUGCUGUGUAGUAGAGUGCUCGGGGUCCAGGGAAGUUCCGUACUGGGAUCCUCGGAGCUGUGAACCCUUGGGGCUGCUGUGCGUUCUGGAAUAUUUCACUGAUUUCAGUUAUCUAGUGACAUUCCAUGUCUAUUGGUGAGUAUUGAAGAAGUCAGUCUCUAUAGCAGACAGAUACUCAUGUAAUAUAACCUAUUAGAGAAAGAGAACUGCUAGACCUGAACUUUUAUUUGAGAAAAUUAUGACUCAUUCAGAAAAGUCUUUCAAGCAGAAGUGUGCUAAUGCCAAUGGAAACACUCUGCUCAAAUAUUACCACAUUUCCUUUCCCCCGAUUAUCACAAAAUCCUCUUGUUUACUUUCCUUGGGUGCCACAAUUUAUUUGUCUAACAGGAUCAGAGAUUGUGGCUAUUUCUAAGGAAAAUUUUAUAAUUUUUUUGAGGUAAAGGAAUAAACUGGCAGAGUUUAGCACCUUAAGUCUUUCUUUAGAUUCUGUGAUGUGGUAUUCUUUUCCACAUCAGCAUGAAGGAGCAUAUAAAAUCCACCCCAUUUUAGGAAUAGAAAUUAAUUUGAGUCAGAAGAACAGUAAAAGGUAAUCCACAUGGCAUGCCUUUGUCAAAGAGACAGACAUUUCCAAUGCAAUUCUUAAGGGAGGAAGGUGGUUAUAAUAGAAUAUAACAGCUCUCUGGAGGGAAGAAUACAUUUCCUAUAUGAUGAGGAUGGCUAUGCAUUAUAUCUGCAGCAGUUUUCCCUUGAAUCCAGAUACCAGAUCUGUUAAAAGGAUUUGGGAAAAGACCACUGUGUGGUGAAGGAAGGAGGAUAUAUUGGUUCAGAUUUGCCCAAAAGUACAUUAGAAAACAGAAUAUUAGCAUCCAUUAGGUGUUUGUCAGAUGGUAGCAAUUUCCAGCAACAACAUAAUGGGGACAUAUCAGCAACAGAUCUGAACUGGUUAUCUAGAGAUGAAAGGCUCCCCAGACCCUCGUUUCCUCUUGAAUUCAGCUUUUGAUUGUGUGCUUUGUCCUUUGUAUCUCUUUUCUUUACCAUCUCAUUGGUUCCUUUCUUUUUCUUUUUAGAAUCUCAAGCUUAUCUUUUAAACUGAUUUAUCUCAGGCUUUAUGCUUAGGGAGCAGCUGAAACUCACAGGAAAAAUACAAAGAGCAAACCUGGGUAUUUUUUUAAAUUAUUGUCAGAGAACAGAUGCUGUGGCAGGUGCUACUGGUAAGAUAUUAUAAUCAAACAGGCAAAAGAUAUGUAGAAUUUUAUUUUUCCAUCUUAGGACAGGGCUCUCAAUAUGCUGAUUCAUUCAUGUGGUUAAGGACAAAUUAGUAUUUCAGAAAUUUGCCCACAGUCCAUGAGAUAGUGAUAUGUGACAAAAUUUUAUGUGUAUUUCCCUAUUGCAGAUUCAUCUGGGAGAAAUGAUAUUUGCCUCAUAAUUAAAUCCUUCUUACAUUACAUUUAAUGCUGUAGUGAAACAGCAAUUGCUCUCUGCUUUUGAAGAAGAGGGGAUAUUAAAUUAUUCAAAUGAAUCUCAGUAUCCAAAAAAGUGAUUGGUUUUGAUAAAUUCCUGUGUUGUGAUUACAAAUAAAAUAUUUAAGUUUUUUGUUUGUGCACUUGUAUUAGGGCUGGUGCAACAAUUUCUCCCUAAAUUGCUUAUAUCUCAAAUAUUCUUUUUGGCUUAGCCUUUUUUGUUAUUCUUGGGACCAAAAAUAUACCCGUAAGUUCCUUUUUAAAGACCCUUUUGACUAAUUUUCAAACUCUCAGUUGUCAUAUUUUAGCAAACUGUUGAGAGUGGGAUUUAAUCUUGUUCUUCUUCACAGACAAUCAGCUGUGUACCAGGCCUUAGUUCUUUCCGUGGGUUGCUCAGGUACCUGGUCUACACUGUGGGCUAGGCCGAUAUCUGGUCCACAUCUGGUCUCUGGGGCUGCCACUGAAUCUUCUUGACUUUGGAAAGAAGUAUGUCUCAGUUUUUAAAGCAAGACUAUUACCUGGAAAGGUUGUUAGAAAAUUUUAUUGAUUUAGAAAUGUAUUUGGCCAGGCGCAGUGGCUCACUCCUGUAAUCCCAGCAUUUUGAAGGCCGAGGCUGGAAGAUUGCUUGAGCUCAGCUGGCUCAACAUCACGGCAAAACCCCGUCUCUACAUAACAAUAUAAAACAAUUAGCCGGGCAUAGUGGCACAAGCCUGUGCUUCUAGCUACUCAGGAGGCUGAGGCGGGAGAAUUGCUUGAGCUGGGACGCAGAGGUUGCAGUGAGCCGAGACUGCACCACUACACUCCAAUCUAGGCAACAGAACCCGUCUCAAAAUGAAACAAAACAACAAAAAAUAUAAUUUCUAGUAUGGCUGAAUCAGUGUUCGUUCAGUGAAAGUGCUAAGCAUUUUGAUGUUAAUUUUGAAGGUGUAUUCACCUUCAUUUUAUCCAGGCUUUUAUGUUUCAAAGCGUUUCUUUCAGAUUUAUAGUGGUGAUAUUUUAAAAAGAUGAAUGAUUCUUAUGAACAGACUUCAUGCUACAGUUCUUGUUCCAAAAUGAUACCCACAAUUUCUCUGGGCCAACUGAAUUUGAAGUUGAAGCCUGUUAGUAAUUUUCUUUCUUCCAACAUGCCUUUGGGUUGAUGGAAAUGCUCAGGGUGACAUCUCCUCAAAAGUGGAGUUGGAGCUCUUCUUGGGGGAACACUGAAAUAUCUUUGAAGGCGAGGCAAUUCCCUCACUUUCAUUGGUCCAUUUAUCUGACUGGAAGAGAGCUAAGAGAAAAACUGAUUCAAUCAUCAGUUAUGAAGUAGAAGAAACACAAGGCUUAUAAUCAAGCUAUCCUUAUUCAGACAUAUUUGCCACUUCUUAGCAGUGCAACUUAGACUUUCUGAGACCAACUUUCCUAUACCAAAGAAUGAAGACCUGGCAGAGUUAUUUUUAAAUAGUAAGUACAAUAACCCGCAAAAUCUCUGGCAGUCGUUAAGAAGUGGGAACUUUUACCUAUUUUGUUCCUAUUCUUUGAGUCUCACCUCAUUUAUAAAAUGGAGAAAAUAAUAAUCGCCUUCUGGGGUUAUGGUGAGACUUAAAGGGAAUAUAGCCUUACCCAUGGUUAGAGAGUUAUCUAAAAAGUAAGUCUUCCAAAAACAACAACAACAAAAACCUGUUUAGCUGAUCCUCCUACUUCCUGCUUCACAGACAAGCACAUUGUGGUUGGGCAGAGGUAGGCUUGGACACAGACACACUGACCAGUACUCUUCACUAUGUUCUUUUUACUGACUAUUUGCAUAUUCUAGAUAUUCUGGCUUGGGGAGUUGACUAAAUUUUGAAGCAUAAAUUGAGCAGAGUGAAUAUAAUACUAGACUUCCACAAUGUCAAGACUCAUUUGGAAAUGGCUCCCUGAACAUUCAGAUUUACCAGAAGAAAAAAAUCAACGUGCUGAAUAUAUUAAACUGGAUUUUAACUUAAAAAACAUCUUUAAAUGUAAUUUUAAACAACUGUUUCAAGUUGAACAAAACCAUUCUUUUCGGUUAUCUUGUUAUUUUUUGAGUGUUGUUGGUAUUAGUUCAUAUAAGAAUUUUGUCUUAGUGAGUUCUUUACUAAGCAUCUCUUUACCCUGAAAAGCCAAAUAAUACCCUUAUUCCAUACGCCACCGAUACCAAAGUCAGAUAAAAGGGGUUUCAUUGCAAGGCUAAGAAAGAGCUAAUUUUCUAAAAUUGGAACAUUAUCUGUCAUGUGUUACUACUCUGUAAUUAUGACUAUUAUUCUCAUUGGGAAAAAAGAGAUAUUUCAGGAGGGGAAUAGAUUUUUAUAAGAGGCUUUUAAUAUAAAUGGGCAAUUACCUUAAAAUACUGACUUUCAUACUUAGCCACUAUGUUGUAGAUACAUUAUAUUAUAUUUGAUUUAAAUUUAGUAAAUUAUAUGCAUGUGCAAACUUAA